Molecule: ribosomal RNA, 279 nt
Rfam family: Eukaryotic small subunit ribosomal RNA (bases 98-279)
CUGGGGUUCGGGUCGGCGGUUUGCCGCUCUGCGGCUACUGCCGUGCUCGACUCUUACUAGCUGGUGCGUCUCGCGGUUCUCUUCACUGAGUGCCACGAGAGCCUAGCAUGUUUACUUUGAAAAAAUUAGAGUGCUCAAAGCAGGCGUUCACGCCUGAAUAGUGUUGCAUGGAAUAAUGGAAUAGGACCUCGGUUCUAUUUUGUUGGUUUUCGGAACUUGAGGUAAUGAUUAAGAGGGACGGUCGGGGGCAUUCGUAUUUCGGUGUUAGAGGUGAAAUUC